This 502-nucleotide ribosomal RNA is filed under the name uncultured bacterium. RNAcentral describes it as "partial 16S ribosomal RNA". It matches the Rfam family "Bacterial small subunit ribosomal RNA", at positions 28 to 523 of the family's 1533-position model. The record is from RNAcentral.
GAUGAACGCUAGCGGCAGGCCUAACACAUGCAAGUCGAGGGGCAGCACAGAAACAGCAAUGUUUUGGUGGCGACCGGCGGACGGGUGCGUAACGCGUAUGCAACCUACCUUUAACAGGGGGAUAACGGAGAGAAAUUUCCACUAAUACCCCAUAACAUCGAUCAAGGCAUCUUGAUUGGUUGAAAACUCCGGUGGAUAAAGAUGGGCAUGCGUUGUAUUAGGUAGUUGGUGAGGUAAUUGCUCACCAAGCCUACGAUACAUAGGGGGACUGAGAGGUUAGCCCCCCACACUGGUACUGAGACACGGACCAGACUCCUACGGGAGGCAGCAGUGAGGAAUAUUGGUCAAUGGGGGCAACCCUGAACCAGCCAUGCCGCGUGCAGGAAGACGGCUCUAUGAGUUGUAAACUGCUUUUAAACAGGGAUAAAGCACAGUAUGUAUACUGUGUUGAAGGUACUGUAAGAAUAAGGAUCGGCUAACUCCGUGCCAGCAGCCGCCGUAA